GACGAACGCUGGCGGCGUGCCUAAUACAUGCAAGUCGAGCGAAUCUUUAAAAGCUUGCUUUUAUUGAUUAGCGGCGGACGGGUGAGUAACACGUGGGCAACCUGCCUGUAAGACUGGGAUAACUUCGGGAAACCGGAGCUAAUACCGGAUAAUCUGUUCCCUCGCAUGAGGGAAUGCUGAAAGACGGCGCAAGCUGUCACUUACAGAUGGGCCCGCGGCGCAUUAGCUAGUUGGUGAGGUAACGGCUCACCAAGGCGACGAUGCGUAGCCGACCUGAGAGGGUGAUCGGCCACACUGGGACUGAGACACGGCCCAGACUCCUACGGGAGGCAGCAGUAGGGAAUCUUCCGCAAUGGACGAAAGUCUGACGGAGCAACGCCGCGUGAGCGAAGAAGGCCUUCGGGUCGUAAAGCUCUGUUGUUAGGGAAGAACAAGUAUCGGAGUAACUGCCGGUACCUUGACGGUACCUAACCAGAAAGCCACGGCUAACUACGUGCCAGCAGCCGCGGUAAUACGUAGGUGGCAAGCGUUGUCCGGAAUUAUUGGGCGUAAAGCGCGCGCAGGCGGUUCCUUAAGUCUGAUGUGAAAGCCCCCGGCUCAACCGGGGAGGGUCAUUGGAAACUGGGGAACUUGAGUGCAGAAGAGAAGAGCGGAAUUCCACGUGUAGCGGUGAAAUGCGUAGAGAUGUGGAGGAACACCAGUGGCGAAGGCGGCUCUUUGGUCUGUAACUGACGCUGAGGCGCGAAAGCGUGGGGAGCGAACAGGAUUAGAUACCCUGGUAGUCCACGCCGUAAACGAUGAGUGCUAAGUGUUAGAGGGUUUCCGCCCUUUAGUGCUGCAGCAAACGCAUUAAGCACUCCGCCUGGGGAGUACGGCCGCAAGGCUGAAACUCAAAGGAAUUGACGGGGGCCCGCACAAGCGGUGGAGCAUGUGGUUUAAUUCGAAGCAACGCGAAGAACCUUACCAGGUCUUGACAUCCUCUGACACUCCUAGAGAUAGGACUUUCCCCUUCGGGGGACAGAGUGACAGGUGGUGCAUGGUUGUCGUCAGCUCGUGUCGUGAGAUGUUGGGUUAAGUCCCGCAACGAGCGCAACCCUUGAUCUUAGUUGCCAGCAUUUAGUUGGGCACUCUAAGGUGACUGCCGGUGACAAACCGGAGGAAGGUGGGGAUGACGUCAAAUCAUCAUGCCCCUUAUGACCUGGGCUACACACGUGCUACAAUGGAUGGUACAAAGGGUCGCAAAACCGCGAGGUCGAGCCAAUCCCAUAAAACCAUUCUCAGUUCGGAUUGCAGGCUGCAACUCGCCUGCAUGAAGCCGGAAUCGCUAGUAAUCGCGGAUCAGCAUGCCGCGGUGAAUACGUUCCCGGGCCU
This 1371-nucleotide ribosomal RNA is filed under the name uncultured bacterium. Its description in RNAcentral is "bacterial SSU rRNA". It matches the Rfam family "Bacterial small subunit ribosomal RNA", at positions 28 to 1381 of the family's 1533-position model. The record is from RNAcentral.